UUCAAAAAACAUGUAGUGAUU
Non-coding RNA from Caenorhabditis elegans, 21 nucleotides. NCBI's taxonomy places the organism in Eukaryota, Metazoa, Nematoda, Chromadorea, Rhabditida, Rhabditidae. The record is from Ensembl.